Molecule: ribosomal RNA, 816 nt
Filed under: uncultured bacterium
Lineage: Bacteria
Description: bacterial SSU rRNA
Rfam family: Bacterial small subunit ribosomal RNA
Source: RNAcentral
UAGAGUUUGAUCCUGGCUCAGGAUGAACUCUAGCUACAGGCUUAACACAUGCAAGUCGAGGGGCAGCAUUAUCGGAGCUUGCUUUGAUAGAUGGCGACCGGGCGCACGGGUGAGUAACGCGUAUCCAACCUUCCCCUUAGUAGAGGAUAGCCCGGCGAAAGUCGGAUUAAUACUCUAUGUUGUAUUUUGAGGACAUCUGACGAAUACCAAAGAUUUAUCGCUAAGGGAUGGGGAUGCGUCUGAUUAGCUUGUCGGCGGGGUAACGGCCCACCGAGGCGACGAUCAGUAGGGGUUCUGAGAGGAAGGUCCCCCACAUUGGUACUGAGACACGGACCAAACUCCUACGGGAGGCAGCAGUGAGUAAUAUUGGUCAAUGGGCGUAGGCCUGAACCAGCCAAGUAGCGUGCAGGAAGACUGCCCUAUGGGUUGUAAACUGCUUUUAUGCGGGAAUAAAGUCAGGUACGUGUACCUGUUUGCAUGUACCGCAUGAAUAAGGACCGGCUAAUUCCGUGCCAGCAGCCGCGGUAAUACGGAAGGUCCGGGCGUUAUCCGGAUUUAUUGGGUUUAAAGGGAGCGCAGGCGGAGGAUUAAGCGUGACGUGAAAUGUCCCGGCUCAACCGUGGAACUGCGUCGCGAACUGGUUUUCUUGAGUGAGUGCGACGUCGGCGGAAUUCGUGGUGUAGCGGUGAAAUGCUUAGAUAUCACGAAGAACCCCGAUUGCGAAGGCAGCCGACGAGUCCUUAACUGACGCUAAAGCUCGAAAGUGCGGGUAUCGAACAGGAUUAGAUACCCUGGUAGUCCGCACGGUAAACGAUG